GACGAACGCUGGCGGCGUGCUUAACACAUGCAAGUCGAACGAAGUGGCGAACGGGUGAGUAAUACGUGGGUAACCUGCCCUCCUUUUUGGGAUAAGCCUUGGAAACGGGGCCUAAUACCGAAUAAAGGGGGAUGGGCUCGCGGCGUAUCAGCUUGUUGGUGGGGUGAUGGCCUACCAAGGCGGUGCCGGGUAGCCGGCCUGAGAGGGUGACCGGCCACAUUGGGACUUAGAUACGGCCCAGGCGCCAACGAGAGGCAGCAGUGGGGGAUAUUGCACAAUGGGCGCAAGCCUGAUGCGGCGACGCCGCGUGGGGGAUGGAGGCUUUCGGGUUGUAAACCUCUUUCGCUCUCGAACGGGUAGGUGGAGAAGAAGCGCCGGCUAACUACGUGCCAGCCGCCGCGGUAAUUC
Molecule: ribosomal RNA, 408 nt
Filed under: uncultured bacterium
Lineage: Bacteria
Description: partial 16S ribosomal RNA
Rfam family: Bacterial small subunit ribosomal RNA
Source: RNAcentral